UUCCCACCAACCUCUCUCAAA
RNAcentral lists this non-coding RNA (21 nucleotides) under Caenorhabditis elegans. Lineage: Eukaryota; Metazoa; Nematoda; Chromadorea; Rhabditida; Rhabditidae. The record is from RNAcentral.